Molecule: ribosomal RNA, 497 nt
Filed under: uncultured bacterium
Lineage: Bacteria
Description: partial 16S ribosomal RNA
Rfam family: Bacterial small subunit ribosomal RNA
Source: RNAcentral
GAUGAACGCUGGCGGCGUGCCUAAUACAUGCAAGUCGAGCGAACAGACGAGGAGCUUGCUCCUCUGACGUUAGCGGCGGACGGGUGAGUAACACGUGGAUAACCUACCUAUAAGACGGGGAUAACUUCGGGAAACCGGAGCUAAUACCGGAUAAUAUAUUGAACCGCAUGGUUCAAUAGUGAAAGACGGUGUUGCUGUCACUUAUAGAUGGAUCCGCGCCGCAUGAGCUAGUUGGUGAGGUAACGGCUUACCAAGGCAACGAUGCGUAGCCGACGUGAGAGGGUGAUCGGCCACACGGGAACGGAACCACGGACCAGGCUACUACGGGAGGCAGCAGUAGGGAAUCUGACGCAACGGGCGAAAGCCUGACGCAGCAACGGCGAGUCAGUGACGAAAGCCUCCCGAGCGUAAAACCCGCUUAUUAGGGAUGAACAACUGUGUAAGUAACUAUGCACGUCUUGACGGUACUUAAUCAGAAAGCCACGGCUAACUACGUG